UUACGGCCAUAUAAUGUUGAAAUUCCAGUUCCCAUACAAUCACCAAAGUUAAGCAACAUCAAGUUUGGUCAGUAUCUCAAUGAGUGACCACUUAGGAAUACCAGGUGCUGUAAG
This is a non-coding RNA of Acanthosepion pharaonis, 114 nucleotides long. The record is from the annotation of a GenBank genome assembly. NCBI's taxonomy places the organism in Eukaryota, Metazoa, Mollusca, Cephalopoda, Sepiida, Sepiidae.